Molecule: non-coding RNA, 563 nt
Organism: Pelobates cultripes (western spadefoot toad)
Lineage: Eukaryota; Metazoa; Chordata; Amphibia; Anura; Pelobatidae
Source: the annotation of a GenBank genome assembly
CUGCACUACUGAGAUACUGCGACAUAAUGCGCUAGGUUCCCUGAUGGUGCAACGCUCUAAGAGUCUAAGAAAGUUGUAAUAACAAGGCUUAUCUACACAAUGUGACGGCAGCAGGCUUACUUGAAUGCUAACCCUUCACGCACAUUACCCUCAAAACAUCGCGCCUUAAUACCCAUUACCUACAGCACAUCCCUGAUAUCUGUUAGAACCAAACUAUAGCAUAUCAUAUGCUGCAUUAAAUUCAAUGCCUGUAACACGCUCACAGGGUCGCAUAUACUGGCAAAUAGAAUCACAGGAUCAUUAAGCCCCGCUAACAUCAACAGCUACGAGGCGCAAGGCCCGCGUAUAGCCAAGUUACUUGCUGACACAUGUAGACACCAGAUUACAUAUAGGCUUCAUAUGAUUAUGGUGAACCUAUAGAGUUAUAAGACUUAGCCUGGUACAGUCAUAAAUGUGAUUACAGAAGGUUAAUGCCUGCUGAUAAUAAUUCUGAUGAAAAUAAUAAGCCUCUGCGUAGGCAACUGUAAGCUUCUCAUCAUUGUCGAACUGUGCCUGAAUUGUUU